RNAcentral lists this non-coding RNA (184 nucleotides) under Rhizobium sp. RNAcentral also lists the same sequence under 1 other name. Lineage: Bacteria; Pseudomonadati; Pseudomonadota; Alphaproteobacteria; Hyphomicrobiales; Rhizobiaceae. The record is from RNAcentral.
GGGCAAAAACGCUUGUCGGGUGCCCGCCAUGGGCGGGAGAAUCGGGAAUUCGGUGGAAGACCGGAACGUGCCCAACGCUGUGAGGCCGACGCCUGCUGCAAACAACGCCACUGGCUCCGGCCGGGAAGGCUGUGGCGGGCGGAUGAAGCCGAGUCAGAAGACCGGCCCGACACCAUAGACUGAU